AUCGCUUCUCGGCCUUUUGGCUAAGAUCAAGUGUAGUAUCUGUUCUUAUCAGUUUAAUAUCUGAUACGUCCCUUAUCUAGGGACCAUAUAUUAAAAAACAAUCGGGUACUAAGGAAAAUUCAACAGGAUUCGGCAUCUGGGAUUCUCAUAGUACCUGAUUGGCCUACACAACUAUGGUUCUCGGUGAUACAGGAU
Leucoraja erinaceus (little skate) is the source of this 195-nucleotide small nuclear RNA. RefSeq annotates it as U2 spliceosomal RNA. The transcript has a single exon. The record is from RefSeq and is a predicted model, not a curated record. Lineage: Eukaryota; Metazoa; Chordata; Chondrichthyes; Rajiformes; Rajidae.